GACGAACGCUGGCGGCGUGCUUAACACAUGCAAGUCGAACGGAAAGGCCCUGCUUUUGUGGGGUGCUCGAGUGGCGAACGGGUGAGUAUCACGUGAGUAACCUGCCCUUGACUUUGGGAUAACUUCAGGAAACUGGGGCUAAUACCGGAUAGGAGCUCCUGCUGCAUGGUGGGGGUUGGAAAGUUUCGGCGGUUGGGGAUGGACUCGCGGCUUAUCAGCUUGUUGGUGGGGUAGUGGCUUACCAAGGCUUUGACGGGUAGCCGGCCUGAGAGGGUGACCGGCCACAUUGGGACUGAGAUACGGCCCAGACUCCUACGGGAGGCAGCAGUGGGGAAUAUUGCACAAUGGGCGGAAGCCUGAUGCAGCAACGCCGCGUGCGGGAUGACGGCCUUCGGGUUGUAACCCGCUUUCGCCUGUGACGAAGCGUGAGUGACGGUAAUGGGUAAAGAAGCACCGGCUAACUACGUG
RNAcentral lists this ribosomal RNA (468 nucleotides) under uncultured bacterium. Its description in RNAcentral is "partial 16S ribosomal RNA". It matches the Rfam family "Bacterial small subunit ribosomal RNA", at positions 28 to 507 of the family's 1533-position model. The record is from RNAcentral.